Molecule: small nuclear RNA, 110 nt
Filed under: Nicotiana attenuata
Lineage: Eukaryota; Viridiplantae; Streptophyta; Magnoliopsida; Solanales; Solanaceae
Source: RNAcentral
GCCCCCUUUAAAGACAUUCGAUAAAAUUGAAACGAUAUAGCGAAGAUUAACAUGACUGCUGUGCAAAGAUGACGCGUGAAAAUCAUCAGUCACCUCCUUUGGAAAUAUUU